AACGAACGCUGGCGGCAUGCCUAACACAUGCAAGUCGAACGAGACCUUCGGGUCUAGUGGCGCACGGGUGCGUAACGCGUGGGAACCUGCCCUUAGGUUCGGAAUAACUCCCCGAAAGGGGUGCUAAUACCGGAUAAUGUCUUCGGACCAAAGAUUUCUCGCCUUUGGAUGGGCCCGCGUUGGAUUAGCUAGUUGGUAGGGUAAAAGCCUACCAAGGCGACGAUCCAUAGCUGGUCUGAGAGGAUGGUCAGCCACACUGGGACUGAGACACGGCCCAGACUCCUACGGGAGGCAGCAGUGGGGAAUAUUGGACAAUGGGCGAAAGCCUGAUCCAGCAAUGCCGCGUGAGUGAUGAAGGCCUUAGAGUUGUAAAGCUCUUUUACCCGGGAUGAUAAUGACAGUACCGGGAGAAUAAGCUCCGGCUAACUCCGUG
Molecule: ribosomal RNA, 433 nt
Filed under: uncultured bacterium
Lineage: Bacteria
Description: partial 16S ribosomal RNA
Rfam family: Bacterial small subunit ribosomal RNA
Source: RNAcentral